GCCCGGGUAGCUCAGUGGUAGAGCAGGGGAUUGAAAAUCCCCGUGUCGGUAGUUCAAUUCUACCCCCGGGCACCA
This 75-nucleotide transfer RNA is filed under the name Alphaproteobacteria bacterium. RNAcentral describes it as "tRNA-Phe". It matches the Rfam family "tRNA". From Rfam's summary of the family: Transfer RNA (tRNA) molecules are approximately 80 nucleotides in length. The record is from RNAcentral. RNAcentral also lists the same sequence under 1 other name. Lineage: Bacteria; Pseudomonadati; Pseudomonadota; Alphaproteobacteria.